CGGGUGAGUAACACGUGAGUAACCUGCCCCCUUCCUUCUGGAUAACCGCAUGAAAGUGUGGCUAAUACGGGAUAUUCUGCGCCUGCUGCAUGGUGGGUGUGGGAAAGAUAUUGUUUCGUGGGGGAUGGGCUCGCGGCCUAUCAGCUUGUUGGUGGGGUGAUGGCCUACCAAGGCGGUGACGGGUAGCCGGCCUGAGAGGGUGGACGGUCACACUGGGACUGAGACACGGCCCAG
RNAcentral lists this ribosomal RNA (234 nucleotides) under uncultured bacterium. Its description in RNAcentral is "partial 16S ribosomal RNA". It matches the Rfam family "Bacterial small subunit ribosomal RNA", at positions 103 to 334 of the family's 1533-position model. The record is from RNAcentral.